UGUAUAUAUUUCAUUUUAGUAACACAUCACAUGAAUUACAAUACAUCAUCCAUCGACUCCUCUACACAUAAAGGUUCAAGACCCAACAAGUGCACAACAUAACAUCAAUGAUAAACGAAGCUUCUUGUUCCCUCCUCUCGUCCUGUCCUCAACUUCUUCUGGGUGCUUCAGAUCAUCCUGGUAAUUCAAAUAAUCAAACAUAAGAAAGCAUACAACUUCUCUCAAUAAAGGUACGGAUAAAAUACAUGUGAAUAUUUUUUUAUUCUAAUCUUUACGUCUCUGAAUAAUUUUCUAUUGUGCUUCUAAUCACCAGGAUGUCAAAAAUGCAUGCAAAGUGUGCGUGCACCUGGUAUAGAAUAUUACAAUGUAGCAUACAUGUUUGCAUUUAUUGCACAAGAAAGAUGACAUACAGAGAUACAACCUGAUGGUAUGAAAUAUACAUGAAGGCCAAAUACCACAGAAACAAUUACAUCUUCUUUCCGUGAUACUCUGAGAGCAUAAUCUAUUCGGCUGAGAAAGAACAAUGAAAGUAGGGUUGCUUACCUGCUGAUAUGAAAGUGGAUGGAUGACAACACCACUAAGUUCCCGGAAAUGAUUUGGAGUUAUGGAGUACAAAUCCUUUACCUAAAGAGUCAAAUUGGUAUGACGCGGCAAACUUAUGUUAUAAUAGAAAAAUAAAGUCAAAUGCUGUAUUACAUGGAGUAAUCGAUCAUAUAUACUGCUCUCUGGUAUGAAGAUUAAACAAGACAUGGCAAGCUCGCAAGCUACCUUCAGCGUUACUGUUAAAGGAGUUCCACCUCUUUCGAUGUGCAAAUUUAUCUCCUUGUCAACGCUCUCGUCAAGCAAGGACUCUAUAGUGAGAAAUUUUGUUACAACCUGUAAAUAGUUAAGAACAACGUUGAAUAAG
RNAcentral lists this long non-coding RNA (907 nucleotides) under Hordeum vulgare. RNAcentral's name for it is "long non-coding RNA (HVUL_LNC004390)". The record is from RNAcentral. Lineage: Eukaryota; Viridiplantae; Streptophyta; Magnoliopsida; Poales; Poaceae.